This 500-nucleotide ribosomal RNA is filed under the name uncultured bacterium. RNAcentral's name for it is "partial 16S ribosomal RNA". It matches the Rfam family "Bacterial small subunit ribosomal RNA", at positions 30 to 523 of the family's 1533-position model. The record is from RNAcentral.
AUUGAACGCUGGCGGAAUGCUUUACACAUGCAAGUCGAACGGCAGCACGGACUUCGGUCUGGUGGCGAGUGGCGAACGGGUGAGUAAUACAUCGGAACGUGCCCAGUCGUGGGGGAUAACGUAGCGAAAGCUACGCUAAUACCGCAUACGAUCUAAGGAUGAAAGCGGGGGAUCGCAAGACCUCGCGCGGUUGGAGCGGCCGAUGGCAGAUUAGGGAGUUGGUAGGGUAAAGGCCUACCAAGCCGACGAUCUGUAGCUGGUCUGAGAGGAUGAUCAGCCAGACUGGGACUGAGACACGGCCCAGACUCCUACGGGAGGCAGCAGUGGGGAAUUUUGGACAAUGGGCGCAAGCCUGAUUCAGCCAUUCCGCGUGCAGGAUGAAGGCCUUCGGGUUGUAAACUGCUUUUGUACAGAACGAAAAGGCUCUGGUUAAUACCCGGGGCUCAUGACGGUACUGUAAGAAUAAGCACCGGCUAACUACGUGCCAGCCGCCGCCGUAA